This 976-nucleotide ribosomal RNA is filed under the name uncultured eukaryote. RNAcentral describes it as "SSU rRNA". It matches the Rfam family "Eukaryotic small subunit ribosomal RNA", at positions 669 to 1674 of the family's 1831-position model. The record is from RNAcentral.
UUCGNGUACUGGAAUCCCAAGCGGACCUUUCCUUCUGGCUAACCUUGGGUCCUUGUGGCUCUUGGCGAACCAGGAUUUUUACUUUGAAAAAAUUAGAGUGUUCAAAGCAGGCGUAUUGCUCGAAUAUAUUAGCAUGGAAUAAUAGAAUAGGACGUUUGGUUCUAUUUUGUUGGUUUCUAGGACCAUCGUAAUGAUUAAUAGGGACGGUCGGGGGCAUCAGUAUUCAAUUGUCAGAGGUGAAAUUCUUGGAUUUAUUGAAGACUAACUACUGCGAAAGCAUUUGCCAAGGACGUUUUCAUUAAUCAAGAACGAAAGUUAGGGGAUCGAAGAUGAUCAGAUACCGUCGUAGUCUUAACCAUAAACUAUGCCGACUAGGGAUCGGGUGGUGUUUUUUUAAUGACCCACUCGGCACCUUACGAGAAAUCAAAGUCUUUGGGUUCUGGGGGGGGUAUGGUCGCAAGGCUGAAACUUAAAGGAAUUGACGGAAGGGCACCACCAGGAGUGGAGCCUGCGGCUUAAUUUGACUCAACACGGGGAAACUCACCAGGUCCAGACACAAUAAGGAUUGACAGAUUGAGAGCUCUUUCUUGAUUUUGUGGGUGGUGGUGCAUGGCCGUUCUUAGUUGGUGGAGUGAUUUGUCUGCUUAAUUGCGAUAACGAACGAGACCUUAACCUACUAAAUAGUGGUGCUAGCAUUUGCUGGUUGUCCGCUUCUUAGAGGGACUAUCGGUUUCAAGCCGAUGGAAGUUUGAGGCAAUAACAGGUCUGUGAUGCCCUUAGACGUUCUGGGCCGCACGCGCGCUACACUGACGGAGCCAGCGAGUCUAACCUUGGCCGAGAGGUCCUGGUAAUCUUGUGAAACUCCGUCGUGCUGGGGAUAGAGCAUUGUAAUUAUUGCUCUUCAACGAGGAAUUCCUAGUAAGCGCAAGUCAUCAGCUUGCGUUGAUUACGUCCCUGCCCUUUGUACACACCGCCC